This 346-nucleotide ribosomal RNA is filed under the name uncultured Ruminococcus sp. Its description in RNAcentral is "bacterial SSU rRNA". It matches the Rfam family "Bacterial small subunit ribosomal RNA", at positions 21 to 350 of the family's 1533-position model. Lineage: Bacteria; Bacillati; Bacillota; Clostridia; Eubacteriales; Oscillospiraceae. The record is from RNAcentral.
GGCUCAGGACGAACGCUGGCGGCGUGCUUAACACAUGCAAGUCGAACGGGAAACCUUUUAUUGAAGCUUCGGCAGAUUUAGCUGGUUUCUAGUGGCGGACGGGUGAGUAACGCGUGGGUAACCUGCCUUAUACAGGGGGAUAACAGUCAGAAAUGACUGCUAAUACCGCAUAAGCGCACAGGACCGCAUGGUCUGGUGUGAAAAACUCCGGUGGUAUAAGAUGGACCCGCGUUGGAUUAGCUUGUUGGUGGGGUAACGGCUCACCAAGGCGACGAUCCAUAGCCGGCCUGAGAGGGUGAACGGCCACAUUGGGACUGAGACACGGCCCAGACUCCUACGGGAGGCA